RNAcentral lists this non-coding RNA (29 nucleotides) under Rattus norvegicus (Norway rat). The record is from RNAcentral. Lineage: Eukaryota; Metazoa; Chordata; Mammalia; Rodentia; Muridae.
UGACUAAUGGCAUAAUAACCCACUGUGAC